UGGGGUAUCGCCAAGCGGUAAGGCACCGGUUUUUGAUACCGGCAUUCCCUGGUUCGAAUCCAGGUACCCCAGCC
This 74-nucleotide transfer RNA is filed under the name Citrobacter freundii. Its description in RNAcentral is "tRNA-Gln(ttg)". It matches the Rfam family "tRNA". Rfam says of the family: Transfer RNA (tRNA) molecules are approximately 80 nucleotides in length. Lineage: Bacteria; Pseudomonadati; Pseudomonadota; Gammaproteobacteria; Enterobacterales; Enterobacteriaceae. The record is from RNAcentral. RNAcentral also lists the same sequence under 1 other name.